RNAcentral lists this unclassified non-coding RNA (400 nucleotides) under Hevea brasiliensis (rubber tree). The record is from RNAcentral. Lineage: Eukaryota; Viridiplantae; Streptophyta; Magnoliopsida; Malpighiales; Euphorbiaceae.
GUCAUUUCCUAGAACAUAUGACAUCAUCUAGAUUGUAGUAUCACAAGCAUGGAUUCCGUUAAGCUUCUUUCUCUCCUGAUACUCUUAGGAGUUGUGUACCUCCAAUCCAUUACUUUCGGUUAUUGCCCAAAGAAUGAGAGAGACGCACUUGUCAAGUUCAAACAAGGCUUCAAUGAUCCUUCAGGCAGACUUUCAUCUUGGGUUGGAGAAGAUUGUUGUAGUUGGAGAGGUGUAACCUACAAUAACAGAAACGGACGCAUUUUCAGGCUCAAUCUUCACAACCCGUAUGCAAAUCCAGAUGAUAUGUUCGAUACCAGUGGAACAGCGCAUGAGUUGGGUGGUAAGAUUGAUCCUUCUUUGCUUCACCUGAGAGACUUGACUUACCCGGACUUGAGCAUUA